UAGGGAAUCUUCCACAAUGGACGGCAAGUCUGAUGGAGCAACGCCGCGUGAGUGAAGAAGGUCUUCGGAUCGUAAAACUCUGUUGUUAGAGAAGAACACGAGUGAGAGUAACUGUUCAUUCGAUGACGGUAUCUAACCAGCAAGUCACGGCUAACUACGUGCCA
This 164-nucleotide ribosomal RNA is filed under the name uncultured bacterium. RNAcentral describes it as "partial 16S rRNA". It matches the Rfam family "Bacterial small subunit ribosomal RNA", at positions 355 to 510 of the family's 1533-position model. The record is from RNAcentral.